UACGAAGGGGGCUAGCGUUGUUCGGAAUUACUGGGCGUAAAGCGCACGUAGGCGGACAUUUAAGUCAGGGGUGAAAUCCCAGAGCUCAACUCUGGAACUGCCUUUGAUACUGGGUGUCUUGAGUAUGGAAGAGGUGAGUGGAAUUCCGAGUGUAGAGGUGAAAUUCGUAGAUAUUCGGAGGAACACCAGUGGCGAAGGCGGCUCACUGGUCCGAUACUGACGCUGAGGCGCGAAAGCGUGGGGAGCAAACAGG
RNAcentral lists this ribosomal RNA (253 nucleotides) under uncultured bacterium. Its description in RNAcentral is "partial 16S ribosomal RNA". It matches the Rfam family "Bacterial small subunit ribosomal RNA", at positions 524 to 776 of the family's 1533-position model. The record is from RNAcentral.